GACGAACGCUGGCGGCGUGCUUAACACAUGCAAGUCGAACGGAAAGGCCCUGCUUUUGUGGGGUGCUCGAGUGGCGAACGGGUGAGUAACACGUGAGUAACCUGCCCUUGACUUUGGGAUAACUUCAGGAAACUGGGGCUAAUACCGGAUAGGAGCUCCUGCUGCAUGGUGGGGGUUGGAAAGUUUCGGCGGUUGGGGAUGGACUCGCGGCUUAUCAGCUUGUUGGUGGGGUAGUGGCUUACCAAGGCUUUGACGGGUAGCCGGCCUGAGAGGGUGACCGGCCAAAUUGGGAAGGGGAACCGGCCAGGACCCCUCCGGGGGGAAGCAGGGGGGAAUAUUGCACAAGGGGCGGAAGCCUGAAGCAGCACCGCCCGGGGGGGGAGGACGGCCUUCGGGUUGUAAACCGCUUUCCCCUGUGACGAAGGGGGAGUGACGGUAAUGGGUAAGGAAGCACCGGCUAACUACG
RNAcentral lists this ribosomal RNA (466 nucleotides) under uncultured bacterium. RNAcentral's name for it is "partial 16S ribosomal RNA". It matches the Rfam family "Bacterial small subunit ribosomal RNA", at positions 28 to 505 of the family's 1533-position model. The record is from RNAcentral.